Molecule: ribosomal RNA, 497 nt
Filed under: uncultured bacterium
Lineage: Bacteria
Description: partial 16S ribosomal RNA
Rfam family: Bacterial small subunit ribosomal RNA
Source: RNAcentral
GAUGAACGCUGGCGGCGUGCCUAAUACAUGCAAGUCGAGCGAACGGACGAGAAGCUUGCUUCUCUGAUGUUAGUGGCGGACGGGUGAGUAACACGUGGAUGACCUACCUAUAAGACUGGGAUAACUUCGGGAAACCGGAGCUAAUACCGGAUGAUAUUUUGAACCGCAUGGUUCAAAAGUGAAAGACGGUCUUGCUGUCACUUAUAGAUGGAUCCGCGCUGCAUUAGCUAGUUGGUAAGGUAACGGCUUACCAAGGCAACGAUGCAUAGCCGACCUGAGAGGGUGAUCGGCCACACUGGAACUGAGACACGGUCCAGACUCCUACGGGAGGCAGCAGUAGGGAAUCUUCCGCAAUGGGCGAAAGCCUGACGGAGCAACGCCGCGUGAGUGAUGAAGGUCUUCGGAUCGUAAAACUCUGUUAUUAGGGAAGAACAUAUGUGUAAGUAACUGUGCACAUCUUGACGGUACCUAAUCAGAAAGCCACGGCUAACUACGUG